GUUAUACAAAUAAUAUAACUUAAUUUGAUCAGUAAUAAUUAAUUAAGAUUUUAAAUUAAAAUUUAUAAGGUGAAAUUUUAAAUUUUAAUAAAAUUUGGUUUUUAUAAUGAAGUUAAGAAAUUUAAUAGAUAAACUAGGAUUAGAUACCCUUUUAAAUGUAAAUUUAAGUACUAAAUUAGUAAUAGUUAAGUUCUUGAAAAUUAAAAAUUUUGGCGGUAUCUUAGUCUAUUCAGAGGAACCUGUUCUGUAAUUGAUAACCCACGAUUUAAUUUACUUUUCUUAUUAGUUUGUAUAUCAUCGUAAUGGAAUAUUUUAUAAGAAUUAUAAUAUUCAAUAUUUUUUAUAUAAAAAUAAAUCAGAUCAAGGUGCAGUUUAUAGAAAAGAAGAAAUGGGUUACAAUAAAAUUAUUUAGUGAUUGUUAUUUUUAAAAUAAUAUGAAUAUGGAUUUGAAAGUAAAUUUAAUUAAUUAAUUAAAUUGAUUUAGCUCUAAGAUAUGUACACAUCGCCCG
Molecule: ribosomal RNA, 509 nt
Filed under: Platyphora boucardi
Lineage: Eukaryota; Metazoa; Arthropoda; Insecta; Coleoptera; Chrysomelidae
Description: partial 12S ribosomal RNA
Source: RNAcentral